CCUACGGGUGGCAGCAGUGGGGAAUAUUGGACAAUGGGCGAAAGCCUGAUCCAGCCAUGCCGCGUGUGUGAAGAAGGCCUUCGGGUUGUAAAGCACUUUCAGUGGGGAAGAAAGCCUUGGGGCUAAUACCCUCGAGGAAGGACAUCACCCACAGAAGAAGCACCGGCUAACUCCGUGCCAGCAGCCGCGGUAAUACGGAGGGUGCGAGCGUUAAUCGGAAUUACUGGGCGUAAAGCGCGCGUAGGCGGUCUGAUAAGCCGGUUGUGAAAGCCCCGGGCUCAACCUGGGAACGGCAUCCGGAACUGUCAGGCUAGAGUGCAGGAGAGGAAGGUAGAAUUGCCGGUGUAGCGGUGAAAUGCGUAGAGAGCGGGAGGAAUACCAGUGGCGAAGGCGGCCUUCUGGACUGACACUGACGCUGAGGUGCGAAAGCGUGGGUAGCAAACAGGAUUAGAUACCCUAGUAGU
Molecule: ribosomal RNA, 464 nt
Filed under: Vreelandella stevensii
Lineage: Bacteria; Pseudomonadati; Pseudomonadota; Gammaproteobacteria; Oceanospirillales; Halomonadaceae
Description: partial 16S ribosomal RNA
Rfam family: Bacterial small subunit ribosomal RNA
Source: RNAcentral